Molecule: non-coding RNA, 28 nt
Filed under: Rattus norvegicus (Norway rat)
Lineage: Eukaryota; Metazoa; Chordata; Mammalia; Rodentia; Muridae
Source: RNAcentral
GUGCAGAACUUUGGAAGUUUGUGCCGAU